This 446-nucleotide ribosomal RNA is filed under the name uncultured bacterium. Its description in RNAcentral is "partial 16S ribosomal RNA". It matches the Rfam family "Bacterial small subunit ribosomal RNA", at positions 338 to 795 of the family's 1533-position model. The record is from RNAcentral.
CCUACGGGAGGCAGCAGUAGGGAAUUUUCGGCAAUGGGGGGAACCCUGACCGAGCAACGCCGCGUGAACGAAGAAGUUAUUCGUAAUGUAAAGUUCUUUUAACAGGGAAGAAAGAGAAAUUUGACGGUACCUGAAGAAAAAGCAUCGGCUAACUCCGUGCCAGCAGCCGCGGUAAUACGGAGGAUGCGAGCGUUAUCCGGAUUUAUUGGGUUUAAAGGGUGCGCAGGCGGUCUGUUAAGUCAGCGGUCAAAGCCCGGGGCUCAACCCCGGCCCGCCGUUGAAACUGGCAGUCUCGAGUUGGAGAGAAGUAUGCGGAAUGCGCGGUGUAGCGGUGAAAUGCAUAGAUAUCGCGCAGAACUCCGAUUGCGAAGGCAGCAUGCCGGCUCCACACUGACGCUGAGGCACGAAAGCGUGGGUAUCGAACAGGAUUAGAUACCCGGGUAGUC